Molecule: long non-coding RNA, 1695 nt
Organism: Bombyx mori (domestic silkworm)
Lineage: Eukaryota; Metazoa; Arthropoda; Insecta; Lepidoptera; Bombycidae
Exons: 2
Source: RefSeq, a predicted model, not a curated record
CGUGGUCUGUUGUUUAAUUUAUUUUAAUGAGAUAUUUUCGUGGAUAUUCAUCAAAGCACUCUCGAAGGUUUUUGCAAAUCUUAUACGAGAUUCCUAAUUCAUUCAGAGGUAUCUCUUUUAUUAACUUCACAAUUUCUGAGGUCUGAAUUAAACAUACUUACGUCUAAAUUUAAUGAAAAUUGUUGAUCAUUGUAAACUACUGUCUGAAAAUUAUUGGAAAUUGUAAUUGCCGUUCACGUUCCUUUACACUCAGAGAUAUUUAGCGCGUGAUUAGAACAAACGUAUCACUUUUUCAUGUUAAACGCGAAAAAUCCGUUUUGUAAUCUUGCAAUACAUUCGGCUUCGGCUUGAGCUUCAAAUUGUUUGUCCACCGUCGACUUGGAUUAGUUAGGUACGUUGUGCACUGCGUGAGAAAGCAAGCAUCUCUCGACAAAGUACACCGCACUGUACCGGUUACACCGUCAGACUAACGUCAAUGUUUUAUUUAUACUUGCACCGCCUGCACGACCGCAUGGGGACCGCUGAGAAAAUGUUUUUUUAAAUUCUAUACGGGUUCGCAGGUAUACAAGAAAGACAAAUGCGGCAGAAUGGUCUCAAGCAAUAUGAGAGGAGCUGCAAAUAAAAUCCUGGCCAAAGAGUUAACGUUACGUCGGGCCGCUGAAAUUUACGAAUUACCGUACACAAGUAUACAAAGAGAAGGCUCUUUCUCCGGGGGUGUCACUACUACUAAACUACACUUGGUAGACAGCCAGUCUGAGAUGAAAUGCUGCCGAAGAUGCUGAAAAGAUUUUAGCACACCGUAAACUGUAUUUGGCAAAUCGUGGCUUCGGAAUUACACCCAAGGCGGUUCGUAAAUAUGUAUUUCAAUUAGCAGAACGUCAGAACAUUCAACCCAAAUUUAAUAAAGAAAUAGGAGUGGCUGGUCAGGGCUGCUUUCAUCGCUUUAUGAAAAGAAAUAACGAAUUAACUAUUCGGAAACCAGAAGGAUUGUCUAGAGCAAGAAUAGACGGCAUGAAAAGGGAAAAAGCGGCCGAAUUCUUUAAGGCUGGAAACAGUAAUAGACAAGACCGAUUUAAGAGGGAGACUGGAAUAACAGUACAAUGUGGACAUGAAAUGUCGUAAACAACAAAACCAAUUUUACAUUUGACAUCACCCCAGAGUAAGAGUAAUCUCCUCGAAUAAGACGCUAGCAGUAAACAUAAGACUGACAAAAAAGCAGUGGAUAAAGAGAAAAAGACUGAGCACAAUGUUAAAGAGAAGAAUAACAGAACGCUUGGAAUAAAAAUAAAAGGUUUGCAUUGUAUUUACUGAUCUGAAAAAUUCAUUCAUCCACCAUCAGAGGAUUGGAUUCAGUGUCAUGCAUCCAAAGAACGGCGCCACGAAAAAUGUGCUGAUAUGGGAGGGAAAAAAGGCCCAUAUGUAUGUGAUUUAUGUAUUAGUAAUUACAAAUUGUUCUUAUUAUUAUUUAUUUAAAAAAAAUAUGAUUCCAAAUGUAUAGUUUUAAGAAAAAAAUCAUUUAAAUAUUUAUUUUGUACGAUCCCAUUCGCCUCUAGAAUUAGGGCGAUUCAGAUAUUUAUGUUUCAAGGAUUUAGUUUAUAAUUUAAAGAACCUAUGAACAAUUUAAGUUUUAAAAUGUUUAUUGCGUAGCUGGAUUGUUACUGAUUUCAGUUCUGUCAAUAAAAGUUACAUAAAUUA